GAUGAACGCUAGCGGCAGGCCUAACACAUGCAAGUCGAGGGAGAAGCCCUUCGGGGCAGAAACCGGCGCGCGGGUGCGUAACGGUAUGCAACCUACCUUUCACAGGGGGAUAGCCCGAGGAAAUUUGGAUUAAUACCCCAUAAUAUUAUUGGAUGGCAUCAUUUGUAAUUAAAAUUACGAUGGUGAAAGAUGGGCAUGCGUCCUAGUAGCUAGUUGGAGUGGAACGGCACCCCAAGGCUACGAUAGGUAGGGGUCCUGAGAGGGAGAUCCCCCACACUGGUACUGAGACAGGGACCAGACUCCUACGGGAGGCAGCAGUGAGGAAUAUUGGUCAAUGGUCGGAAGACUGAACCAGCCAUGCCGCGUGCAGGAAGAAUGCCUUAUGGGUUGUAAACUGCUUUUAUAUGGGAAGAAUAAGGAGUACGUGUACUUUGAUGACG
Molecule: ribosomal RNA, 440 nt
Filed under: Capnocytophaga granulosa
Lineage: Bacteria; Pseudomonadati; Bacteroidota; Flavobacteriia; Flavobacteriales; Flavobacteriaceae
Description: bacterial SSU rRNA
Rfam family: Bacterial small subunit ribosomal RNA
Source: RNAcentral